This 24-nucleotide non-coding RNA is filed under the name Mus musculus (house mouse). The record is from RNAcentral. Lineage: Eukaryota; Metazoa; Chordata; Mammalia; Rodentia; Muridae.
UGUUCCUUCACUUUCCUGGUAUCU